AGGCCUAACACAUGCAAGUCGAACGCACUCUUCGGAGUGAGUGGCGCACGGGUGAGUAACGCGUGGGAACGUACCCUUCGGUGCGGAAUAACCACUGGAAACGGUGGCUAAUACCGCAUACGCCCCUCGGGGGAAAGAUUUAUCGCCGAAGGAUCGGCCCGCGUUGGAUUAGGUAGUUGGUGUGGUAAUGGCGCACCAAGCCGACGAUCCAUAGCUGGUCUGAGAGGAUGAUCAGCCACACUGGGACUGAGACACGGCCCAGACUCCUACGGGAGGCAGCAGUGGGGAAUAUUGGACAAUGGGGGCAACCCUGAUCCAGCCAUGCCGCGUGGGUGAAGAAGGCCUUCGGGUUGUAAAGCCCUUUCAGGUGGGAAGAUGAUGACGGUACCACCAGAAGAAGCCCCGGCUAACUUCGUGCCAGCAGCCGCGGUAAUACGAAGGGGGCUAGCGUUGUUCGGAAUUACUGGGCGUAAAGCGCGCGUAGGCGGAAACGUCAGUCGGAGGUGAAAGCCCAGGGCUCAACCUUGGAACUGCCUUUGAUACUGCGUUUCUUGAGUCCGGAAGAGGGCGGUGGAAUACCCAGUGUAGAGGUGAAAUUCGUAGAUAUUGGGUGGACACCAGUGGCGAAGGCGGCCGCCUGGUCCGGUACUGACGCUGAGGUGCGAAAGC
Molecule: ribosomal RNA, 669 nt
Filed under: uncultured Roseospirillum sp.
Lineage: Bacteria; Pseudomonadati; Pseudomonadota; Alphaproteobacteria; Rhodospirillales; Rhodospirillaceae
Description: bacterial SSU rRNA
Rfam family: Bacterial small subunit ribosomal RNA
Source: RNAcentral